CGCGGCCUAUCAGCUUGUUGGUGGGGUAACGGCUCACCAAGGCGACGACGGGUAGCGGGUCUGAGAGGAUGAUCCGCCACAUUGGGACUGAGAUACGGCCCAGACUCCUACGGGAGGCAGCAGUGGGGAAUAUUGCACAAUGGGCGCAAGCCUGAUGCAGCGACGCCGCGUGGGGGAUGACGGCCUUCGGGUUGUAAACUCCUUUCGUCAGGGACGAAGCGAAAGUGGCGGUACCUGGAUAAGAAGCACCGGCUAACUACGUGCCAGCAGCCGCGGUAAUACGUAGGGUGCGAGCGUUGUCCGGAAUUAUUGGGCGUAAAGAGCUCGUAGGCGGUUUGUCGCGUCUGCCGUGAAAGUCCGGGGCUCAACUCCGGAUCUGCGGUGGGUACGGGCAGACUAGAGUGAUGUAGGGGAGACUGGAAUUCCUGGUGUAGCGGUGAAAUGCGCAGAUAUCAGGAGGAACACCGAUGGCGAAGGCGGAUCUCUGGGCCGUAACUGACGCUGAGGAGCGAAAGCAUGGGGAGCAAACAGGCUUAGAUACCCUGGUAGUCCAUGCCGUAAACGUUGGGCGCUAGGUGUGGGACCCUAUCCACGGGUUCCGUGCCGCAGCUAACGCAUUAAGCGCCCCGCCUGGGGAGUACGG
RNAcentral lists this ribosomal RNA (643 nucleotides) under uncultured Actinomycetes bacterium. Its description in RNAcentral is "bacterial SSU rRNA". It matches the Rfam family "Bacterial small subunit ribosomal RNA", at positions 232 to 885 of the family's 1533-position model. The record is from RNAcentral. Lineage: Bacteria; Bacillati; Actinomycetota; Actinomycetes.